ACGGAAGGCAGCAGUGAGGAAUAUUGGACAAUGGAGGCAACUCUGAUCCAGCCAUGCCGCGUGAAGGACUAAGGCCCUACGGGUCGUAAACUUCUUUUGACGCAGGGCAAUAAGGCGUACGUGUACGCCGAUGAGAGUAUGCGUCGAAUAAGCAUCGGCUAACUCCGUGCCAGCAGCCGCGGUAAUACGGAGGAUGCAAGCGUUAUCCGGAUUUAUUGGGUUUAAAGGGAGCGUAGGCCGUGCUUUAAGCGUGUUGUGAAAUGUAGGCGCCCAACGUCUGCACUGCAGCGCGAACUGGAGCACUUGAGUACGCAGGAAGUAGGCGGAAUUCGUCGUGUAGCGGUGAAAUGCUUAGAUAUGACGAAGAACUCCGAUUGGGAAGCCAGCUUACUGUAGCGCCACUGACGCUGAUGCUCGAAAGCGUGGGUAUCGAACAGGAUUAGAUACCCUGGUA
Molecule: ribosomal RNA, 454 nt
Filed under: uncultured Prevotella sp.
Lineage: Bacteria; Pseudomonadati; Bacteroidota; Bacteroidia; Bacteroidales; Prevotellaceae
Description: partial 16S ribosomal RNA
Rfam family: Bacterial small subunit ribosomal RNA
Source: RNAcentral